AAAGAUGCAUUUACACAUGCCAAA
RNAcentral lists this non-coding RNA (24 nucleotides) under Arabidopsis thaliana (thale cress). The record is from RNAcentral. Lineage: Eukaryota; Viridiplantae; Streptophyta; Magnoliopsida; Brassicales; Brassicaceae.